Molecule: ribosomal RNA, 1046 nt
Filed under: uncultured Serratia sp.
Lineage: Bacteria; Pseudomonadati; Pseudomonadota; Gammaproteobacteria; Enterobacterales; Yersiniaceae
Description: bacterial SSU rRNA
Rfam family: Bacterial small subunit ribosomal RNA
Source: RNAcentral
UGGGGAAUAUUGCACAAUGGGCGCAAGCCUGAUGCAGCCAUGCCGCGUGUGUGAAGAAGGCCUUCGGGUUGUAAAGCACUUUCAGCGAGGAGGAAGGUGGUGAGCUUAAUACGCUCAUCAAUUGACGUUACUCGCAGAAGAAGCACCGGCUAACUCCGUGCCAGCAGCCGCGGUAAUACGGAGGGUGCAAGCGUUAAUCGGAAUUACUGGGCGUAAAGCGCACGCAGGCGGUCUGUCAAGUCGGAUGUGAAAUCCCCGGGCUCAACCUGGGAACUGCAUUCGAAACUGGCAGGCUAGAGUCUUGUAGAGGGGGGUAGAAUUCCAGGUGUAGCGAUGAAAUGCGUAGAGAUCUGGAGGAAUACCGGUGGCGAAGGCGGCCCCCUGGACAAAGACUGACGCUCAGGUGCGAAAGCGUGGGGAGCAAACAGGAUUAGAUACCCUGGUAGUCCACGCCGUAAACGAUGUCGAUUUGGAGGUUGUGCCCUUGAGGCGUGGCUUCCGGAGCUAACGCGUUAAAUCGACCGCCUGGGGAGUACGGCCGCAAGGUUAAAACUCAAAUGAAUUGACGGGGGCCCGCACAAGCGGUGGAGCAUGUGGUUUAAUUCGAUGCAACGCGAAGAACCUUACCUACUCUUGACAUCCAGAGAACUUAGCAGAGAUGCUUUGGUGCCUUCGGGAACUCUGAGACAGGUGCUGCAUGGCUGUCGUCAGCUCGUGUUGUGAAAUGUUGGGUUAAGUCCCGCAACGAGCGCAACCCUUAUCCUUUGUUGCCAGCGGUUCGGCCGGGAACUCAAAGGAGACUGCCAGUGAUAAACUGGAGGAAGGUGGGGAUGACGUCAAGUCAUCAUGACCCUUACGAGUAGGGCUACACACGUGCUACAAUGGCGUAUACAAAGAGAAGCGACCUCGCGAGAGCAAGCGGACCUCAUAAAGUACGUCGUAGUCCGGAUUGGAGUCUGCAACUCGACUCCAUGAAGUCGGAAUCGCUAGUAAUCGUAGAUCAGAAUGCUACGGUGAAUACGUUCCCGGGCCUUGUACACACCGCC